UACGUAGGGGACGAGCGUUGUCCGGAAUUACUGGGCGUAAAGGGCGCGCAGGCGGAUAUUUAAGUCAGCUGUUAAAGUCAUGGGCUCAACUCAUGGAUGCGGUUGAAACUGGGCAUCUAGAGUGCUGGAGAGGUAGGCGGAAUUCCCGGUGUAGCGGUGAAAUGCGUAGAUAUAGGGAAGAACACCAGUGGCGAAGGCGGCUUACUGGCCAGCAACUGACGCUGAGGCGCGAAAGCCAGGGGAGCGAACG
Molecule: ribosomal RNA, 250 nt
Filed under: uncultured prokaryote
Description: partial 16S ribosomal RNA
Rfam family: Bacterial small subunit ribosomal RNA
Source: RNAcentral